GCAAGUCGAACGAUAACAUUUCUAGCUUGCUAGAAGAUGACGAGUGGCGGACGGGUGAGUAAUGCUUGGGAAUUUGCCUUUAGGUGGGGGACAACAGUUGGAAACGACUGCUAAUACCGCAUGAUAGCUACGGCUCAAAGGGGGCUUCGGCUCUCGCCUUUAGAGAAGCCCAAGUGGGAUUAGAUAGUUGGUGAGGUAAAGGCUCACCAAGUCAACGAUCCCUAGCUGGUCUGAGAGGAUGAUC
This 244-nucleotide ribosomal RNA is filed under the name uncultured bacterium. Its description in RNAcentral is "partial 16S ribosomal RNA". It matches the Rfam family "Bacterial small subunit ribosomal RNA", at positions 57 to 305 of the family's 1533-position model. The record is from RNAcentral.